This 253-nucleotide ribosomal RNA is filed under the name uncultured bacterium. RNAcentral describes it as "partial 16S ribosomal RNA". It matches the Rfam family "Bacterial small subunit ribosomal RNA", at positions 524 to 776 of the family's 1533-position model. The record is from RNAcentral.
UACGGAGGGUGCAAGCGUUGCUCGGAAUUAUUGGGCGUAAAGGGCAGGUAGGUGGUCUCGUUUGUCUGGGGUGAAAGCCUUGAGCUUAACUUAAGAAGUGCCCCAGAAACGGCGAGACUAGAGCUCUGGAGAGGGUCGUGGAAUUCCCGGUGUAGCGGUGAAAUGCGUAGAGAUCGGGAGGAACACCAGCGGUGAAGGCGGCGACCUGGACAGACACUGACACUCAACUGCGAAAGCGUGGGGAGCAAACAGG